RNAcentral lists this transfer RNA (76 nucleotides) under Salmonella phage Melville. Its description in RNAcentral is "tRNA-His". It matches the Rfam family "tRNA". From Rfam's summary of the family: Transfer RNA (tRNA) molecules are approximately 80 nucleotides in length. Their secondary structure includes four short double-helical elements and three loops (D, anti-codon, and T loops). Lineage: Duplodnaviria; Heunggongvirae; Uroviricota; Caudoviricetes; Pantevenvirales; Straboviridae. The record is from RNAcentral. RNAcentral also lists the same sequence under 1 other name.
GUGACCGUAGUUCAGUUGGUAGAACUCGAGAUUGUGAUUCUCGUAGUCGACGGUUCAAUCCCGUCCGGUCACCCCA